CAGCCGCCGCGGUAAUACGUAGGGUGCGAGCGUUAAUCGUAAUUACUGGGCGUAAAGCGUGCGCAGGCGGUUAUAUAAGACAGAUGUGAAAUCCCCGGGCUCAACCUGGGACCUGCAUUUGUGACUGUAUAGCUAGAGUACGGUAGAGGGGGAUGGAACUCCGCGUGUAGCAGUGAAAUGCGUAGAUAUGCGGAGGAACACCGAUGGCGAAGGCAAUCCCCUGGACCUGUACUGACGCUCAUGCACGAAAGCGUGGGGAGCAAACAGGAUUAGAUACCCCUGUAGUCCCUGUCUCUUAUAC
RNAcentral lists this ribosomal RNA (301 nucleotides) under uncultured bacterium. RNAcentral's name for it is "partial 16S ribosomal RNA". It matches the Rfam family "Bacterial small subunit ribosomal RNA", at positions 509 to 807 of the family's 1533-position model. The record is from RNAcentral.